This 467-nucleotide ribosomal RNA is filed under the name uncultured bacterium. RNAcentral describes it as "partial 16S ribosomal RNA". It matches the Rfam family "Bacterial small subunit ribosomal RNA", at positions 28 to 506 of the family's 1533-position model. The record is from RNAcentral.
GAUGAACGCUGGCGGCGUGCUUAACACAUGCAAGUCGAACGGAAAGGCCCAAGCUUGCUUGGGUACUCGAGUGGCGAACGGGUGAGUAACACGUGGGUGAUCUGCCCUGCACUUCGGGAUAAGCCUGGGAAACUGGGUCUAAUACCGGAUAGGACGAUGGUUUGGAUGCCAUUGUGGAAAGUUUUUUCGGUGUGGGAUGAGCUCGCGGCCUAUCGGCUUGUUGGUGGGGUAAUGGCCUACCAAGGCGUCGACGGGUAGCCGGCCUGAGAGGGUGUACGGCCACAUUGGGACUGAGAUACGGCCCAGACUCCUACGGGAGGCAGCAGUGGGGAAUAUUGCACAAUGGGCGCCAGCCUGAUGCAGCGACGCCGCGUGGGGGAUGACGGCCUUCGGGUUGUAAACUCCUUUCGCUAGGGACGAAGCGUUUUUGUGACGGUACCUGGAGAAGAAGCACCGGCUAACUACGU